GAUGAAGAACGUAGCGAAAUGCGAUAAGUAGUGUGAAUUGCAGAAUUCCAGUGAGUCAUCGAAUCUUUGAACGCACAUUGCGCCCUUUGGUAUUCCGAAGGGCAUGCCUGUUCGAGCGUCAUUAUCACCCCUCAAGCCCUCGGCUUGGUGUUGGACGGUUUGGUGGAGGCCCCCUCGGGGGUUCCUGCCCCUCCCAAAGACAAUGACGGCGGCCUCGUUGGACCCCCGGUACACUGAGUUCUUCACGGGACACGUAUCGGACACAUGGGUUUACGGGACACGGUCUGCCUCCCCUCAGGGAGAAUCUUUCUAAGGUUGACCUCGGAUCAGGUAGGGAUACCCGCUGAACUUAAGCAUAUCAAUAAGCGGAGGA
This 373-nucleotide unclassified non-coding RNA is filed under the name soil metagenome. RNAcentral describes it as "partial contains 5.8S ribosomal RNA, internal transcribed spacer 2, and large subunit ribosomal RNA". The stretch from base 1 to 121 matches the Rfam family "5.8S ribosomal RNA", at positions 35 to 154 of the family's 154-position model. The record is from RNAcentral.